This 429-nucleotide ribosomal RNA is filed under the name Bacteroidota bacterium. RNAcentral describes it as "Bacteroidetes bacterium partial 16S ribosomal RNA". It matches the Rfam family "Bacterial small subunit ribosomal RNA", at positions 355 to 776 of the family's 1533-position model. Lineage: Bacteria; Pseudomonadati; Bacteroidota. The record is from RNAcentral.
UAGGGAAUCUUCCGCAAUGGACGCAAGUCUGACGGAGCAAAGCCGCGUGAGUGAAGAAGGAUCUCGGUUCGUAAAACUCUGUUGUUAGAGAAGAACAGCGCAUAGAGUAACUGUUAUGCGUGUGACGGUAUCUAACCAGAAAGCCACGGCCAACUACGUGCCAGCAGCCGCGGUAAUAAGUAGGUGGCAAGCGUUGUACGGAUUUAUUGGGCGUAAAGCGAGCGCAGGCGGUCAAUUAAGUCUGUUGUAAAAGCCCCGGGCUCAACCGGGGAGGUUCAUUGGAAACUGGUUGCCUUGAGUGCAGAAGAGGAGGAUGGAAUUCCAUGUGUAGCGGUGAAAUGCGUGGAUUUAUGAAGGAACACCAGUGGCGAAGGCGACUCUCUGGUCUGUAACUGACGCUAAGGGUCGAAAGCGUGGGUAGCAAACAGG